Molecule: long non-coding RNA, 382 nt
Organism: Pteropus alecto (black flying fox)
Lineage: Eukaryota; Metazoa; Chordata; Mammalia; Chiroptera; Pteropodidae
Exons: 2
Source: RefSeq, a predicted model, not a curated record
AGCACUUUUGUUCACAUGCACCAGGUUCCUUUGAAGCAUGGUCUCCCUAGACUCCCGAGCGAGGGAUAAUAAUGAGAAACACCUGUCAGUGCCGAGAGGUUUUUUUGUUGUUGUUGUUGUUGUUGUUGUUGUUGUUGUUGUUGUCAUUUCCCCCUUCUUGUUGUUGACAGUGCCUGAGCUUCCUAUAGCCCCUCCAUCGCUCGCCCCACCCCGUCCUGAGGUGUCAUACAUGUGUUAGUGGCUGGGGAUACAAUACCAAGUAAGCUGGGCUGAAUAGAAUCAAAGCCACAAGGCCAACGAGGACCCAAGACAUCUAAAAGAACAGAGGAAGUCAUUUAAAAGUCUAAAACAUUGAGUAAAAUAAAAUUAAAGUAAAAUAAAA